Molecule: ribosomal RNA, 497 nt
Filed under: uncultured bacterium
Lineage: Bacteria
Description: partial 16S ribosomal RNA
Rfam family: Bacterial small subunit ribosomal RNA
Source: RNAcentral
GAUGAACGCUGGCGGCGUGCCUAAUACAUGCAAGUCGAGCGAACAGACGAGGAGCUUGCUCCUCUGACGUUAGCGGCGGACGGGUGAGUAACACGUGGAUAACCUACCUAUAAGACUGGGAUAACUUCGGGAAACCGGAGCUAAUACCGGAUAAUAUAUUGAACCGCAUGGUUCAAUAGUGAAAGACGGUUUUGCUGUCCCUUAUAGAUGGAUCCGCGCCGCAUUAGCUAGUUGGUAAGGUAACGGCUUACAAAGGCAACGAUGCGUAGCCGACCGGAGAGGGGGAUCGGCCACUCUGGAACUGAGACACGGUCCAGACUCCUACGGGAGGCAGCAGUAGGGAAGCUUCCGCAAUGGGCGAAAGCCUGACGGAGCAACGCCGCGUGGGUGAUGAAGGUCUUCGGAUCGUAAAACUCUGUUAUUAGGGAAGAACAAAUGUGUAAGUAACUAUGCACGUCUUGACGGUACCUAAUCAGAAAGCCACGGCUAACUACGUG